ACCAGACUCCUACGGGAGGCAGCAGUGGGGAAUAUUGCACAAUGGGGGAAACCCUGAUGCAGCAACGCCGCGUGAGUGAAGAAGUAUUUCGGUAUGUAAAGCUCUAUCAGCAGGGAAGAAAAUGACAGUACCUGACUAAGAAGCCCCGGCUAACUACGUGCCAGCAGCCGCGGUAGUACGUAGGGGGCAAGCGUUAUCCGGAUUUACUGGGUGUAAAGGGAGCGUAGACGGCGGCGCAAGUCUGGAGUGAAAGCCCGGGGCCCAACCCCGGGACUGCUCUGGAAACUGCGGCGCUGGAGUACGGGAGGGGCAGGCGGAAUUCCUAGUGUAGCGGUGAAAUGCGUAGAUAUUAGGAGGAACACCAGUGGCGAAGGCGGCCUGCUGGACGAUGACUGACGUUGAGGCUCGAAAGCGUGGGGAGCAAACAGGAUUAGAUACCCGAGUA
Molecule: ribosomal RNA, 445 nt
Filed under: uncultured bacterium
Lineage: Bacteria
Description: bacterial SSU rRNA
Rfam family: Bacterial small subunit ribosomal RNA
Source: RNAcentral